Molecule: long non-coding RNA, 906 nt
Organism: Cygnus olor (mute swan)
Lineage: Eukaryota; Metazoa; Chordata; Aves; Anseriformes; Anatidae
Exons: 4
Source: RefSeq, a predicted model, not a curated record
CAGAAGGUUAAGGGCCUACAAUUAAGACUGAGAGAUCUUCACCUAGGACAUGUUGUGACAAAACAUCAGGCUGCUUUCACAGCCUGGUCGCAGGGCUGUGCCACUAGUUCGCCACACGAGGAGCCCGGCUCUCUGCCAUCCCUCAGGCACGGGCCUUUAGAGAUUGACAGAGAUAAUGAUGCCGUUGCAUUUGAAAAUAAGGUACAGCAAUUGACCCCAGAGGAGGGAGGAAAGGAAAUUUUUUUGCUGUUGGGGAAGCAAAGGGCCUGAGCUGUAAAGCCAGAGAUGAUUUGUCAGACUCACAUGAUGAAGCAGGAAAGUUCCAAGAAAACCCAAGCAUCUAAAAUCUCAAAUGACUGCUCCACAUCAGAAAAAAAGGUUCUGCCUAUUACUAGUUCUAUCCCUGCCCUGCCCACACAGCAACAUUCACAGCUAAUGGGAAGAAUGCGAAGUGACCUCGCUGUUUGCUUUGAUAAGAAAGAGCCUUGCUUUUAUUACCAGCUAAUCAAAUGGAUUCAGAUUGCUGAAUGGUUCUUCUUAUGAAACCGGUUGAAGUCCUGUGGAUACCUUGAAAGAAAUAGAUUCAUGGCCAGAUGCUAUGUUUAAGAAACUGAAAAUGCUUGUUUAAAUUACUCUAACUUGAGAAAAUAUAUCUUGCCUGAAUACGAGUACUCUUGCUUAAUAAAUAACUAGCUUACAAAAAUCCUUGUGCUGCAUGAUACAGAGAUCAUUCGCAAUGCAGUGAGGAAGUGAUGAAACUUGGUCUCUUCUAAGCCAUGCUCUCAGGGACAUACAGCUAGCCUGGGAAUCAGAACCAACUUGGCAUACAUAUAUGUAUUUACUCACAUUUACAAUAAUGCCUGGCAGCUAGGGAUGUCUUUUGCUGUUGAAUAUGACUCUUUUGUA